CAGGAGCCCCUCUCGGCUGCACUGUCUGCUCUCAACCUAUUGAUGCACUUCACUGACUGGCUUUCGUUCUUCCUGCUAGUGAAAUACAGAUUACCUCUUAGACCCCAGAAGAAGAGGAUGUACUAUGAAUACACUGGCCUAUGGCAUAUCUAUGCAAUAUUAUCAAUGAAUGCAUGGAUCUGGAGCUCUUUAUUCCAUACCAGGUGCGCAUUUGCUCAAUCAGAGCUUGGGCAUGCUGCUGUCAUAAUAAUAUAUUGGGUUUGA
This 264-nucleotide ribosomal RNA is filed under the name Triticum aestivum (bread wheat). Its description in RNAcentral is "partial small subunit ribosomal RNA". Lineage: Eukaryota; Viridiplantae; Streptophyta; Magnoliopsida; Poales; Poaceae. The record is from RNAcentral.